AGUGAACGCUGGCGGUAGGCCUAACACAUGCAAGUCGAACGGCAGCACAGGAGAGCUUGCUCUCUGGGUGGCGAGUGGCGGACGGGUGAGGAAUGCAUCGGAAUCUACUCUUUCGUGGGGGAUAACGUAGGGAAACUUACGCUAAUACCGCAUACGACCUACGGGUGAAAGCCGGGGACCUUCGGGCCUGGCGCGAAAGAAUGAGCCGAUGCCCGAUUAGCUAGUUGGCGGGGUAAGAGCCCACCAAGGCGACGAUCGGUAGCUGGUCUGAGAGGAUGAUCAGCCACACUGGAACUGAGACACGGUCCAGACUCCUACGGGAGGCAGCAGUGGGGAAUAUUGGACAAUGGGCGCAAGCCUGAUCCAGCCAUACCGCGUGGGUGAAGAAGGCCUUCGGGUUGUAAAGCCCUUUUGUUGGGAAAGAAAAGCAGUCGGUUAAUACCCGAUUGUUCUGACGUACCCAAGAAUAAG
RNAcentral lists this ribosomal RNA (471 nucleotides) under Xanthomonas sp. oral taxon 037. RNAcentral's name for it is "bacterial SSU rRNA". It matches the Rfam family "Bacterial small subunit ribosomal RNA", at positions 29 to 490 of the family's 1533-position model. Lineage: Bacteria; Pseudomonadati; Pseudomonadota; Gammaproteobacteria; Lysobacterales; Lysobacteraceae. The record is from RNAcentral.